RNAcentral lists this long non-coding RNA (1488 nucleotides) under Danio rerio (zebrafish). Its description in RNAcentral is "lncRNA (ENSDARG00000117654.1)". The record is from RNAcentral. Lineage: Eukaryota; Metazoa; Chordata; Actinopteri; Cypriniformes; Danionidae.
AUGAAAAUCUCCAGUGCAAACUUUACUAAAGUUUGUCUCUCAAAUUUAAGCAAAACUGAGUGCAGAUGUGAGAAUCAGUACAUCUGGUCUUCUGAACAAUGCUCUAAACAUGGCGUUUGUGGCUCUGGUCAGAACUAUACAUGUGGAUGCAUCACUUCUCUUCCAACUGAUGGAUCAUUCUGUCGUCCACCAACUGCUUAUCUAAAAUCAUUCAGAUACACGACUGACAUAAAAAUCAAUGCUUCAAGAGUUGUUGUGAUUGAUCGUUUGAGGACAUUGAUCCAAGAACAAAAAUUCCCAAUGUGCAUCAAGAAAGGAGUGAAAAUCUCCAGUGCAAACAUCACUACAGUUUGUCUUUCAAAUUCAAGCAAAACCGAGUGCAGCUGUGAGAAUCAGUACAUCUGGUCCUCUGAACAAUGCUCCGAACAUGGCAUUUGUGGCUCUAGGGAAAAUAAUACAUGUGAAUGCAUCUCAUCUCUUCCAUCGCAUGGGUCAUUCUGUCAUCCACCAUCUGCUCAACUCAUGUCAUUCAGAUACACCAUUGACAUAAAAAUCAAUGCUUCAAGUCAUGUUGUGAUGGACCGUUUGAGAGCAUCAGUUCAUUUGGAACAAAAAUUCCAAAUGUGUAUUAAGAAAGGCAUGAAAAUAUCCAGUCUAAACAUCACUAUAGGCUGUCCUGCACCUACAACCAUCCCAAGCACAACCCCAAGUGUACCUACACCAUCUACAAUAUCAAUGCCAGCAUCAACAAGCAUCACAGCAGAUAUUACAAGCCAAUCAACACUGAUCCCAAACACACCUGACAUUGAUACAACAACAACAACAACAACAAUAAGCAGUCCAGAACCUACCAGAACUACAACUGCAGAAAUUACACUUGUUACAAGCAUUUCAACCCUAAUCCCGGACACAACUGAUAGUUCAGCAACUCCAGCUCCUACUACAACAGAAGAAACUACAAUUAUGACAAGCCCUCCAACUCUGUUCCCAAACACAAUGGAGAAUUCAACAGUAACAAGCACUACAACAUCUACUACAACAGAAGACAUUACAAUUAUAACAAGCCCUUCAACUCCGAUCCCAAACACAACUGAGAGUUCAACAAUAACAAGCACACCAGCACUUACUACAACAGAAGAAACUACAAUUAUUACAAGCCUUUCAACUUCGAUCCCAAACACAACUGAGAGUUCAACAUUAACAAGCACACCAGCACCUACUUUAAAAGAAGAGACUACAGUUAUUAUAAGCCUUCCAACUCCGAUCUCAAACACAACUGAGACUUCAACGAUGACAAGCACUACAGCAUCUAGUACAGUUAUUACACCCCUUAUUCCAAACACAACUGAAAGUACAACGGUAGAAACUACAGAUAUGACAAGCCUUUCAACAAUUCCAAACACAACUGAAAGUUCAACAGUUACAAGUGUUUCAACUUCAACAGCAGAAACAAGUAGGUCUUUGUGACAUUUUACUCUGAGCUUACAG